Molecule: ribosomal RNA, 468 nt
Filed under: uncultured bacterium
Lineage: Bacteria
Description: partial 16S ribosomal RNA
Rfam family: Bacterial small subunit ribosomal RNA
Source: RNAcentral
GACGAACGCUGGCGGCGUGCUUAACACAUGCAAGUCGAACGGAAAGGCCCUGCUUUUGUGGGGUGCUCGAGUGGCGAACGGGUGAGUAACACGUGAGUAAACUGCCCUUGACUUUGGGAUAACUUCAGGAAACUGGGGCUAAUAUCGGAUAGGAGCUCCUGCUGCAUGGUGGGGGUUGGAAAGUUUCGGCGGUUGGGGAUGGACUCGCUGCUUAUCGGCUUGUUGGUGGGGUAGUGGCUUACCAAGGCUUUGACGGGUAGCCGGCCUGGGAGGGUGACCGGCCACAUUGGGACUGAGGUACGGCCCAGACUGCUACGGGCGGCAGCAGUGGGGAAUAUUGCAGAAUGGGGGGAAGCCUGAUGCAGCAACGCCGCGUGCGGGAUGACGGCCUUCGGGUUGUAAACCGCUUUCGCCUGUGACGAAGCGUGAUUGACGGUAAUGGGUAAAGAAGCCCCGGCUAACUACGUG